Molecule: long non-coding RNA, 484 nt
Organism: Penaeus indicus
Lineage: Eukaryota; Metazoa; Arthropoda; Malacostraca; Decapoda; Penaeidae
Exons: 2
Source: RefSeq, a predicted model, not a curated record
CAGUUAUCUCGUCCCUCCUCCUCCAGCUUCAUCGCACCCCUGCCUUCGUCGUCGCUUCCGAAGACAACAUGAAGUUCCUGUACAUCGUGCUCCUGUGCCUGGUGGCGGUCGCCGCGGCCAGAAACUGGUACAGCUUCGACCUGGACGACGACGACCUCUUCUACCGGCCCGCCCGCAGGUCGUGGAAGGCCGUGGGCGGCUGGCGGGCGGCUUCGGCUCCGUCCAGAACCCUCUACUUCGACAGCGACGAGGAUUCGGACAGUUAUGAGGACUAGGGGCUAUGGCUUCGACUUAGACAAAAAAGAAAAAAAAAAAAGUUCCUUAAGUCAAGUCUCAGCCUUUUUCCUCUUUCUUCGUCUCCUCCACUUCCCUUGUUUAUUCCUCGCCCCCCUCCCCCCCCAAGGUCAUCAGCUUCAACAUAGGUGCUGGCUUACAAAAUGAGCUCAUAUUAAUCUCUAAUAAUUAAUUAAAGUUUAUUCUUCGA